CUUCAAGAUGAGGUUUCCAACCCCUACGGGGGGAGAGGCACCCAGCAGAACACUGGGUCGAUAGGCCGGACGUGGAAGCGGGGACGAAAGACCCGUGCAGCUGACCGGUACUAAUCAGCCGACAACUUCAACA
This 133-nucleotide ribosomal RNA is filed under the name Cellulosimicrobium cellulans J34. Its description in RNAcentral is "partial 23S ribosomal RNA". It matches the Rfam family "Bacterial large subunit ribosomal RNA", at positions 2797 to 2925 of the family's 2925-position model. The record is from RNAcentral. Lineage: Bacteria; Bacillati; Actinomycetota; Actinomycetes; Micrococcales; Promicromonosporaceae.